Sapajus apella (tufted capuchin) is the source of this 101-nucleotide long non-coding RNA. RefSeq lists it as uncharacterized. The record is from RefSeq and is a predicted model, not a curated record. The transcript is spliced from 3 exons. NCBI's taxonomy places the organism in Eukaryota, Metazoa, Chordata, Mammalia, Primates, Cebidae.
UCCUGCUACUUUUUAAACAUCCCAUAACAUGGCUUUUGUGAUUCUCCAGUUUUACUCUUUUCUUCAGCAGGCUCACAGAUGCCAUUCCUUCUCUCUGCCUU